RNAcentral lists this long non-coding RNA (2219 nucleotides) under Gadus morhua (Atlantic cod). RNAcentral's name for it is "lncRNA (ENSGMOG00000025362.1)". Lineage: Eukaryota; Metazoa; Chordata; Actinopteri; Gadiformes; Gadidae. The record is from RNAcentral.
ACAGAAAAAGGUUGAUGGCUGCAUAGUUGACUGGUGGAAAUGUGAUCUAGCUUCACAAACCUGGACUUUGGCCACUUAGUCAGAUGGAGGCCACUGUUGAGGCGAGUCCUACAUGAUCUUAAUGCUUGUACACUUGUUUCACCGUGUUUCAAUGACGAUAAACCUAGCUCACUUUGAACCGAUGUGAAACUAUACAAACUUACUGAGAAACUUCAGACCCCAUAUUGAGUGUUGACUAUAUGGGGAAGUUGCUUAUGUCCAUUUCUGCCAACAGACAUGGGACUUGGUGCUGCGGUGAGAUCGUCCAAGUUUGAAAACCGCCCACAUAUGAAGGUGUCUUGGCGGUGGUGUUCAGAAACUAUUUCUACUCCAACCAAGGGUUCCUCGGAGCUAGACUGGUCCAGUGUUGAUCUGCCACACUCGAGUCCUCAAACCCAGAUCUGGGGUCAACAUGAUUCUGGUCAUGUGGAUGUUCGGGGCGGUCACGUUAACCAUAACGUCACACGCUGCCUCAAUCCCAGGGCCAUGGCAGAUGUUUCUUAAAUGUCUGCCAUGGGCCUUCACUAAGGUGUGGGGACGGUGCUGACUCUGUUCCAUUAACGCAGGUUUGUGCAUUUGACAGUGCUUAAACCACUUAAGAAGUGAAAUGAUGAUGCUUGUAGCAUUAAACCCGUCGAACAUGUGCAAUCUAGUGCCUCGUACCUCCCUGUUGGCCCUUGACGGCACUGAGAACCCUGUAUCAGGUGUAAGGUGACCUCUUGGAAUCCCGUGGGAGGGUCUAGUUGUGCAAAUGACUGAGAAAUCAAUCUGAUCAAAAUGUUAAAUGUUUUUUUGCGUUUGUACAACUUAAAUGGCCUCUGAACAGUUCCUGCAUUUUGUCCUUUGCUUUCCUAGGACCUAGACUUGUCCUGUGAAUGGCGUCCUCAAACCCAGUUCUGGGUCAUCUUGGUAUGUUGACGUUCAUAUCACAAAACACUCCAUGGCUUUAUAGAAGGAUGUUGCAUUUUACCGCCCCAGUCUGAAGAUUCAUGACUGAUUGGUACACACUCUUAUCCUCCAUAAUUACAGACUAAGCAGCUGGUUUCGUGCGAUACACGUGAUCACUAACGGGCCUUUGUUUCCUCCAGAUAUUUGACUUUGGGCGUUUGGGGCGGCCACCUUAAACACUACGUCACACACUGUCUCAAUCCAGUGGCCAUGGCAGAUUCUUCUAAAAUGGCUGUCAUGGGCCUUUACCAGGGUGUCGGGACGAUGCUGACGUCUUCCCAUGAACGCAGGUUUGUGCUUUUGACAUUGCUUUAACCAUUUGAGAAAUGAAAUGGUGAAUGAAACUCCCAUUACUGUCGAACAUGUGCAAUCUAGUGCCUCGAACCUCCCUGUUGGCCCUUGACGGCACUGAGAACCCUGUAUCAGGUGUAAGGUGACCUCUUGGAAUCCCGUGGGAGGGUCUAGUUGUGCAAAUGACAGGUGUGACGAUCAUGCACUGAUCAUGUCACUGUACCUAAACUAUCAAUGAAGCACAUGAUGACUUAUUAUUACCGUCCCAGUCUGAACAUUCAUGACUGAUUGGUUUACAACCCUGAUUAGCUUGUUAAUGACAGCAUGAAUGCUGCUGGUGAUUGGUCCAUCCUGACAAUUCUUUCCUCUUCAGGUCACUGCAGUGCUGCCGGAAGUGUUGUCUACAAAAUGGCCGCCCUCCUUUGUUUGUGCAAAUUCCACAUUGCUUGGCUCAUGGAAUGAUAAUCAAUAAAGCACUUAAUUUUAAACUGGUUCAUGCUUGUCCAUCAAAUCGAUUGUGAAUAAGGUGGACUGAUGUGAUUACUUGUGUCAAACAGUAUUUUGCCCUACCUCUCCAUUAGUUCCUUAUUUGAAACCAUAUUCUACUUAAAUAUUAGGAUGCUUUACUCCCUAACAACUUGCAACUGAGGCAGCUAUAUUGUUGGCUACUCGAAAGGGCCUUAAUCUGCUGGGAGGACUAUAAUGCCGCUUUUCCAACUAAAUUCUUCGGUAACAAACAAAUUAACAUACUUCAUUGUGGGUUGGCAUGCCCAUUUAAACAAGAGGUAAUGAACAAACUUAAAACUUGUUUCCAAGCAAACUCAUUUUCAGCCCCUAACAAGAGAAAGGUGAGGCAGACUGUUGGUUCCGGAUCGUUGCAUUGAAUCUGAAGGUUGCCUCACCAUACCGGGGCUGAAUCCUGGAAAUGGUUAGCAGGUCUA